Long non-coding RNA from Bos taurus (domestic cattle), 693 nucleotides. Lineage: Eukaryota; Metazoa; Chordata; Mammalia; Artiodactyla; Bovidae. The record is from Ensembl.
AAACUGCCAAUCCAUCCCUCCACCUUCAGGUCCCCUUCCCAUCCCCACGUCCCCACCCACAAGUCUGUUUUCUCUGUCUGUACCACAGAUAAUCUUGAAUUUCAGUGGCUGCAGUGGAGAAAUUUGAACCAUCUUACUUUUGAUUUAUUCUUAUUCUCGAUACAGCUUUGUAGCAAUGCCACAUACCUUCUUAAAAAACAAAUGAUUGGCACCCAAGUGCAGAGCGGUGAGCUGCACACACGUGCAUCCCUGCGCGCUGGCUGCAGGAGCAACAGGAGGCUGUACUCUGAAGAGUCUUUUCUGGCCUCUCCGUUCACCUCCAGGCAGUGACUCAGGAACACAGAGAUCUGGGCACCACUCGAACGAGGAAUUCCUGGUCAGAGACAGAAACUAUAGUUGGCCCAAAGCUCUUGGCACAAAUGUUUUAAAACUGUUGUUGAGGUGGGAGAGAGGCCAAGACGACAGAGGAGAUGGACUUUGACCACACCUCCUUUCAGGAACACACCAAAAUCACAGCUGCUGAACAAACAUUUCCCAGACUAGCAGAGAAGAACAAAAUACUUCAUGCAGCGUAUGCUUCACAAAAAGAAGACGACAGUUACAGGUUCCUGGGUACAGGCGGGUUUAUCGCUUGAGAGGGAACCAGGACCCUUCCCCAAGGCUGGACUAUUAUGUCUUUUGACUGUUCCUCCC